RNAcentral lists this long non-coding RNA (673 nucleotides) under Cyanistes caeruleus (blue tit). RNAcentral's name for it is "lncRNA (ENSCCEG00000002262.1)". Lineage: Eukaryota; Metazoa; Chordata; Aves; Passeriformes; Paridae. The record is from RNAcentral.
UUUUAUUCUGACAGCCUAAUUUCUUUAAGAGGCUUUCAUGAAAGACUUUGCAAAAUGCUAUUUGAAAAUCAAAGCAGACUACACCAGCUAAAUGUCUCCUGCCAGUAUGCUUAUCAACUUGUUUAAUGAAUUUCACUGGAUUUUUUGAUUGUCUCUUCCAAAGGGCAACUUUUGUGUGACCACACUGAAAUUGUGCCAGGUAGCCUGCAAUCCACACCAGAAGAUCAACACUAAAGAGCAAGAACUGUACUCAGUAACAGCAGCACUGGGAUUUUGCUGCUGCUACAGCCUGCUUUGGAUGCUUCCUUUGCACAGGGAACCACUCACCCAGCCCUGCUGGGGCUUGGAAGCUACAGCAUCACCCACCAGCAGCUCUCCAUGUGUCUGAAGGGCCAGCAGCUGUUGGACACCCUGGCUGCAGAACACGUGUGCUUUAUUUCUUUUGGCUGUGGGUGGUUUAUGAUGACAGGUGCUGAGGACAAGGGCAGGCACUCUCUAACACUUGUACAUUAGGCAGAGGGAUUAAAUGCAUGCAGGUCUCUUUGUGCAGGGAGCUAUCAAGACAAAAAGUGCACCACAUAUUGAGUUCCUAGAAAGAGGAGUGUCCUCUUUUUGAACCUGGGAGAAGAGGUACAUUGAAGCUGAAGAUGUUGUGGCUUGCAGUGUCUCCAGG